Molecule: ribosomal RNA, 253 nt
Filed under: uncultured bacterium
Lineage: Bacteria
Description: partial 16S ribosomal RNA
Rfam family: Bacterial small subunit ribosomal RNA
Source: RNAcentral
UACAGAGGUCUCAAGCGUUGUUCGGAUUCAUUGGGCGUAAAGCGCACGUAGGCGGCUUUGUAAGUUAGAGGUGAAAGCCCGGGGCUCAACUCCGGAACUGCCUUUAAGACUGCAUCGCUUGAAUCCAGGAGAGGUGAGUGGAAUUCCGAGUGUAGAGGUGAAAUUCGUAGAUAUUCGGAAGAACACCAGUGGCGAAGGCGGCUCACUGGACUGGUAUUGACGCUGAGGUGCGAAAGCGUGGGGAGCAAACAGG